UGCUAGCAUUUUCCGGCUAAUCAGCCAGUUCUUUUGCUCCAAUUUGAUUAUGGGUGUGUUUAAAAUUAAAUUCUGAGCAAAUAGUAAAAUUUUUACCUCGUUUGGCGGUCAACAAUUGUUCUGGUGCGACGGCGGGUGGCAGUGGUCAGCUUCCCUGCGGCUGGGCUAUCGUCUCUGGUGAGGGGUUCUGGCGGCUAGGGUUAAGGUUUGGGUGUGGAUGAUGUUAUUUAUACCCAUUUGCUUUUGAUCUGGGCUGUUCAUCGCGAUUUAAUCUGAGCCGUCCGUGUGCGAUUCAGUCUGAGCUGUCUGUGCGCGAUUCCAAUCUGGGCCGUCCUUGC
RNAcentral lists this long non-coding RNA (338 nucleotides) under Carica papaya (papaya). RNAcentral describes it as "long non-coding RNA (CPAP_LNC002064)". The record is from RNAcentral. Lineage: Eukaryota; Viridiplantae; Streptophyta; Magnoliopsida; Brassicales; Caricaceae.